GACGAACGCUGGCGGCGUGUUUACACAUGCAAGUCGAACGGAAAGGCCCUGCUUUUGUGGGGUGCUCGAGUGGCGAACGGGUGAGUAACACGUGAGUAAUCUGCCCUUGACUUUGGGAUAACAUCAGGAAACAGGGGCUAAUACUAGAUAGGAGCUCCUGCUGCAUGGUGGGGGAUGGAAAGUUUCGGCGGUUGGGGAUGGACGCGCGGCUUAUCAGCUUGUUGGAGGGGUUGUGGAUUACCAAGGCUUUGAAGGGUAGCCGGCCUGAGAGGGUGACCGGGCACAAUGGGACUGAGAGAGGGCCCAGACUCCAACGGUAGGCAGCAGUGGGGAGUAUGGCACAGUGGGCGGAAGCCUGAGGCGGCAACGCCGCGUGCGGGAUGACGGCCUUCGGGUUAUAAACCGCUUUCGCCUGUGACGAAGCGGGAGUGACGGUAAUGAGUAAAGAAGCACCGGCUAACUACGUG
This 467-nucleotide ribosomal RNA is filed under the name uncultured bacterium. RNAcentral describes it as "partial 16S ribosomal RNA". It matches the Rfam family "Bacterial small subunit ribosomal RNA", at positions 28 to 507 of the family's 1533-position model. The record is from RNAcentral.